Molecule: ribosomal RNA, 805 nt
Filed under: uncultured fungus
Lineage: Eukaryota; Fungi
Description: SSU rRNA
Rfam family: Eukaryotic small subunit ribosomal RNA
Source: RNAcentral
GUGCCAGCAGCCGCGGUAAUUCCAGCUCCAAUAGCGUAUAUUAAAGUUGUUGUGGUUAAAAAGCUCGUAGUUGAACCUUGGGCCUGGCUGGCCGGUCCGCCUCACCGCGUGCACUGGUCCGGCCGGGCCUUUCCCUCUGUGGAACCCCAUACCCUUCACUGGGCGUGGCGGGGAAACAGGACAUUUACUUUGAAAAAAUUAGAGUGCUCCAGGCAGGCCUAUGCUCGAAUACAUUAGCAUGGAAUAAUAAAAUAGGACGCGCGGUUCUAUUUUGUUGGUUUAUAGGACCGCCGUAAUGAUUAAUAGGGACAGUCGGGGGCAUCAGUAUUCAACUGUCAGAGGUGAAAUUCUUGGAUCAGUUGAAGACUAACUACUGCGAAAGCAUUUGCCAAGGAUGUUUUCAUUAAUCAGGAACGAAAGUUAGGGGAUCGAAGACGAUCAGAUACCGUCGUAGUCUUAACCAUAAACUAUGCCGACUAGGGAUCGGACGUGUUAUUCAUGACCCGUUCGGCACCUUACGAGAAAUCAAAGUGCUUGGGCUCCAGGGGGAGUAUGGUCGCAAGGCUGAAACUUAAAGAAAUUGACGGAAGGGCACCACCAGGGGUGGAGCCUGCGGCUUAAUUUGACUCAACACGGGGAAACUCACCAGGUCCAGACACAAUAAGGAUUGACAGAUUGAGAGCUCUUUCUUGAUUUUGUGGGUGGUGAUGCAUGACCGUUCUUAGUUGGUGGGGUGACUUGUCUGCUUAAUUGCGAUAACGAACGAGACCUUAACCUGCUAAAUAGCCCGCAUUGCUCCGGCAGU